CUAAAAGAGGAAUUGCUAGCUGAGAACAAGACUGCCGUGGAUAAGAUCUGGGACCUUCGAGAUAUCAUACAGUCUCUGGAAUCCCAGCUGGAUGCCAAAUGCGUGCAAGAGCUUGAGGUAAACACCCAGGUUGAGUCCUUAAAAUCACCCUUGCGCAGGCACAGCGUCACUCCUUGGAUCUCACUCAACAGCUUCAGGUGAUUGAAGACAGGCUGGACAGAACUACAAGAGGCCUUGAGGCUCUGCAACUAUCCAUCUCCUCCGCCUCUCAGUCUGAGGAAGACUUGUCUGUCAAAGAUCGCCUGGACAUCCCAUCUUUACGUGAGCUGGAAAGCAGCAGAGCCUUGUCUCCAUCCGCUCUGGACAGGCGACUGGAGGAUAAGUUGGUGAUGCUAGAGCGCACCACAGAAGCAGCAGUGAAGCGCACACGGGUCCUAGAGAUGACUGUCUAAAAUCUGAGGCUGGAUCUAGAUGAGGCAAUAAUAGAGCGAGAUGCCCUCCAAGAGCGGUCAAGUGACCAGCUCGUUCAAAUCUCAAGCCUGGAAGCACGGCUGGAUGAGCUCAGGAGGUCAGACCAUCCA
Molecule: long non-coding RNA, 581 nt
Organism: Penaeus monodon (black tiger shrimp)
Lineage: Eukaryota; Metazoa; Arthropoda; Malacostraca; Decapoda; Penaeidae
Exons: 5
Source: RefSeq, a predicted model, not a curated record